UACAGGGGGUGCAAACGUUGCUCGGAAUCAUUGGGCGUAAAGCGCACGUAGGCGGUUCGUUAUGUCGGAUGUGAAAGCCCUUGGCUUAACCGAGGAAGUGCAUCCGAAACUGGCGAGCUAGAGUACUAAAGAGGAUCGCGGAAUUCCCGGUGUAGAGGUGAAAUUCGUAGAUAUCGGGAGGAACACCGGUGGCGAAGGCGGCGAUCUGGGUAGAGUACUGACGCUGAGGAACGAAAGCGUGGGUAGCAAACAGG
RNAcentral lists this ribosomal RNA (254 nucleotides) under uncultured bacterium. RNAcentral's name for it is "partial 16S ribosomal RNA". It matches the Rfam family "Bacterial small subunit ribosomal RNA", at positions 524 to 776 of the family's 1533-position model. The record is from RNAcentral.